CAGUCGCCGCGGUAAGACGAACCGUGCGAACGUUAUUCGGAAUCACUGGGCUUAAAGCGCGUGUAGGCGGGAGGGCACGUCCGUCGCUGAAAUCCCCCGGCUCAACCGGGGAACGGGCGCGGAUACGACUCUUCUGGAGGAACGUAGGGGGACCUGGAACUUCCGGUGGAGCGGUGAAAUGCGUUGAGAUCGGAAGGAACGCCCGUGGCGAAAGCGAGGUCCUGGACGUUUACUGACGCUGAGACGCGAAAGCCAGGGGAGCGAACGGGAUUAGAUACCCGGGUAGUCCCUGUCUCUUAUA
RNAcentral lists this ribosomal RNA (301 nucleotides) under uncultured bacterium. RNAcentral describes it as "partial 16S ribosomal RNA". It matches the Rfam family "Bacterial small subunit ribosomal RNA", at positions 509 to 807 of the family's 1533-position model. The record is from RNAcentral.